Arabidopsis lyrata subsp. lyrata is the source of this 1027-nucleotide long non-coding RNA. RefSeq lists it as uncharacterized. The record is from RefSeq and is a predicted model, not a curated record. Lineage: Eukaryota; Viridiplantae; Streptophyta; Magnoliopsida; Brassicales; Brassicaceae. The transcript has 2 exons.
AAUAUCUCUCUGCGUUCCUCUCGACAUUCAGCCGCCGCCGAGAAAAAAAUUUUAGAUCCGAGGCUAGAUCGCGUUGGCUUCCAUAGCAACGGAUCUGGCCUCCCUCUGCUCUGUUUUAGUUUCGUUUUUGUUCUCUUUUUCGUUUCGUUGGGUUUGUAUUUAGAGGUUCGUAAAGGCAAGUUGAGUUCUUGGUUGCUGUGGUUCGAUUUCGGCGGAGCUUUUAGCCGGUGGAAGGGGUGAGUGGUGUUUUGGAUUGGUGGUUUCUUCUCCUUGUUGUGGCAUGGCCUUCGAUUUUGGUCUCUUCUCAAAUCAUGAUUUUUCGAGAAGGAAAUCGGUUCUUGUGGAGGAGAUAGCGUCGGGUUUCGAGGUGAUGUUUAAGGAGAGGCAUGGUUCUCGGAUCUGUUAGUGGUGGCGGAGGUUUUGUGUCUCGGUAGUGGAGGUCUCUUCGUUGUGGGGUUUCUCUCCGGUGGUUUUUGGGUGGUGGCUAAGCUUCUCCGGUUUUUGGCUGCUGGUGGUUUCUAGUUAGACGCUAGUGGACGCAGCAGUCGUCAGCAGUCGUAUUCGGAAGUGUGCUCGAGGUUCCCUUAACUCUUUUGUCUCGCUUGCCGGGUUAUGAAGUCUUGGUUCUUGGUUUCGAGAGAUCAGCUCUCAUCGUGAUAGGAGGAGGUAGAUGUUAUUUUCGGGUUGGCCGCGGGCAUCCUUGGUAAGUCUCAAUCGCAAGUGCUUCAGAAGUUUUGGGUUACUUGUUUUCUUGGGUCUAUUGUUUCUUUUAAGGUUUAUGCCUUCGGCUUUUUUCUUAGUUUUUGGUUUCGACCUCUUGCGUUUGUGGUUUGAAAUCUUUUGCUUUUCUAUGUUUAGUUUCCCUUCGUUAGGGCCUAGUUUUCGGGGAAAUCUCGUCUUCCGCCGGCUUUGUCUCCGGGGACUUUCAUGUUGUCCGCCGGCUUUAGUUUCCCUCUUUUGGGCUUUGUAUUUCACCUUGGUUCCAUUACAAGAUCAAUAAUAAAAUUCUAGAUGACAAAAAAAAAAA